GUGGAAGAAUUCUCUCGUCCUCUGAGUUAGUGGAGUAUCGACCACUGAAGAAUAUGCCAGACAGAAAGCAAUUCUUCAGUGCUUGGAAAAAGCAUUAUAAUAUUUUGUCUGUACCAUUCUAUACCAUAAUAAUGAUUGUGGUAGAAGAAAUAAUGGAGACUGAGUUUAAAUGUCCUCAGCGGGCAGGAUUAAAGCUUUACUAUGUUGCGUCCUAUUUUGUGUUUCCAGCUGUAAUUAUAUUUUUCCUGAGYUUGAUCUUCCAGCCUUCCUUCAUCCCUUGUGCUCGCUGCACGAAGAAAUACUCAGUUUCACAGGUAAUUGAUCUAAUUUUCAGAGCACUUUUACCUGCUGUACUUUGGUGUGUGAUCCUGCUGUUGGAUGGAAGAUACAUUGACUGUGUGAUUCCAGUAAAUGAAGGAAACAGCACUCAAAAGACAAGACAGAACACAACAACAGAAUCACCGACUGAUACCUACAUACUCUCCCAGGUUUGGGGGCUGUUUGUUCUUACUAUUCUUGUUGUUGGUUAUGGCCUGUACACUGUAUACCCAUUUUGGUUCUGCUGUAAUGAUGAAGAAAGACAUAGGAGAAAGCAGCUGGAGCUCCUAUUAGAGGAAAGAACACAGGAAUAUAUUACAGAAAGCACGACAGACACUGCAGAGCAGAUAAUUAAGCAGCACCUGGAGCCUACAAUCAAGCCUCUCCUUACAGAAGUUUUUAAAAAAACAGAUUUUAAAAAACUGUUGGAAAAUGCAGGGAAGACUGUGAAGUGUAUUACUAAAAAGUUGYGGAACGAUGAAGGGCAAGAGUUGGCUGUUCUCCAUUCUCCAGCCUCAAAUGUGGUGCCACCAUCCAGCACUGAUGUGCACCACAGCAAAACUGUCCUGUCCUCUGAGAGCAGCAGCUGCAUCCAUUAACUCACAGCUAUGAAGCAGCACCUAGGGGAUCUCAACCUCUCAGGCUUUGCCUUUGCCUGAAGCACAGAAUGAGGAAGAAAUAUCUUCAGGUCUCAAAGAGGAGGAGAGUUCCUGAAAAUGGUGCAGAUCCACAUUGUCUGCAUUUGCAAGGAAGUCCAAAUUAUUAAGCAUCUUACGGCAACAUAACUUUCUGAGYUUCACAAGCAUCAGCAUCUACAUCMCCAUUAAAGGGAGAUCACAAACUAAGAGGGAUUUGAACCUGCKGCCCCAUUUUAUUGUGCUUUUCAAGCCAAGCGGAUCUCAGCUCCCUUCAGCGCAUACCAGGAAUUUGGGGUCUUUUGCUCUGUUCUUUCAAUGUCCUCAGCGGGCAGGAUUAAAGCUUUGUUACAUUGUGUCCUAUWUUUKGUUUCCAGCWGUAAUUAUAUUUUUCCUGAGCUUGAUCUUCCAGCCUU
This 1369-nucleotide long non-coding RNA is filed under the name Apteryx rowi (Okarito brown kiwi). RNAcentral describes it as "lncRNA (ENSARWG00000014607.1)". The record is from RNAcentral. Lineage: Eukaryota; Metazoa; Chordata; Aves; Apterygiformes; Apterygidae.